CUCGGNAACGGAUNUCUCGGCUCUCCCNUCAAUAAAAAACUUACCGAAAUGCGAUACUUGGUGUGAAUUGCAGAAUCCCGUGAACCAUCGAGUCUUUGAACGCAAGUUGCGCCCGAAGCCAUUAGGCCGAGGGCACGUCUGCCUGGGCGUC
This 151-nucleotide ribosomal RNA is filed under the name Thunbergia alata (black-eyed Susan vine). RNAcentral's name for it is "5.8S ribosomal RNA". It matches the Rfam family "5.8S ribosomal RNA". Rfam says of the family: 5.8S ribosomal RNA (5.8S rRNA) is a component of the large subunit of the eukaryotic ribosome. The record is from RNAcentral. Lineage: Eukaryota; Viridiplantae; Streptophyta; Magnoliopsida; Lamiales; Acanthaceae.